GAUGAACGCUGGCGGCGUGCCUAAUACAUGCAAGUCGAGCGAACGGACGAGAAGCUUGCUUCUCUGAUGUUAGCGGCGGACGGGUGAGUAACACGUGGAUAACCUACCUAUAAGACUGGGAUAACUUCGGGAAACCGGAGCUAAUACCGGAUAAUAUUUUGAACCGCAUGGUUCAAAAGUGAAAGACGGUCUUGCUGUCACUUAUAGAUGGAUCCGCGCUGCAUUAGCUAGUUGGUAAGGUAACGGCUUACCAAGGCAACGAUGCAUAGCCGACCUGAGAGGGUGAUCGGCCACACUGGAACUGAGACACGGUCCAGACUCCUACGGGAGGCAGCAGUAGGGAAUCUUCCGCAAUGGGCGAAAGCCUGACGGAGCAACGCCGCGUGAGUGAUGAAGGUCUUCGGAUCGUAAAACUCUGUUAUUAGGGAAGAACAUAUGUGUAAGUAACUGUGCACAUCUUGACGGUACCUAAUCAGAAAGCCACGGCUAACUACGUGCCAGCAGCCGCGGUAAUACGUAGGUGGCAAGCGUUAUCCGGAAUUAUUGGGCGUAAAGCGCGCGUAGGCGGUUUUUUAAGUCUGAUGUGAAAGCCCACGGCUCAACCGUGGAGGGUCAUUGGAAACUGGAAAACUUGAGUGCAGAAGAGGAAAGUGGAAUUCCAUGUGUAGCGGUGAAAUGCGCAGAGAUAUGGAGGAACACCAGUGGCGAAGGCGACUUUCUGGUCUGUAACUGACGCUGAUGUGCGAAAGCGUGGGGAUCAAACAGGAUUAGAUACCCUGGUAGUCCACGCCGUAAACGAUGAGUGCUAAGUGUUAGGGGGUUUCCGCCCCUUAGUGCUGCAGCUAACGCAUUAAGCACUCCGCCUGGGGAGUACGACCGCAAGGUUGAAACUCAAAGGAAUUGACGGGGACCCGCACAAGCGGUGGAGCAUGUGGUUUAAUUCGAAGCAACGCGAAGAACCUUACCAAAUCUUGACAUCCUUUGACAACUCUAGAGAUAGAGCCUUCCCCUUCGGGGGGGCAAAGUGACAGGUGGUGCAUGGUUGUCAUCAGCUCGUGUCGUGAGAUGUUGGGUUAAGUCCCGCAACGAGCGCAACCCUUAAGCUUAGUUGCCAUCAUUAAGUUGGGCACUCUAAGUUGACUGCCGGUGACAAACCGGAGGAAGGUGGGGAUGACGUCAAAUCAUCAUGCCCCUUAUGAUUUGGGCUACACACGUGCUACAAUGGACAAUACAAAGGACAGCGAAACCGCGAGGUCAAGCAAAUCCCAUAAAGUUGUUCUCAGUUCGGAUUGUAGUCUGCAACUCGACUACAUGAAGCUGGAAUCGCUAGUAAUCGUAGAUCAGCAUGCUGCGGUGAAUACGUUCCCGGGUCU
This 1373-nucleotide ribosomal RNA is filed under the name uncultured bacterium. Its description in RNAcentral is "bacterial SSU rRNA". It matches the Rfam family "Bacterial small subunit ribosomal RNA", at positions 28 to 1381 of the family's 1533-position model. The record is from RNAcentral.